UAAUGGGGAAUUUAGCUUUGCAGUUCGCCUAACCUUUGAGCAUUUAAAAAUGAAUUAGAACCCUGAUGUUGUGUUACACAUGGGAGCAGAGUCUGUUGCCCUAGCUCAUACGAGGGGAGUAGCACCUUACUCCAUGAGUAAUUUCAUUCCUUUCAUUGAAAUUAUUGGAAGAGUGGGAUACUAUUCAACAUUAGUAAGUAUGGCAGAAUCUGGCCCACAAAGUGCAGGUAUGGAAUACUCUGCUGCUCAGUCGUUUUAUUGUAAUGGAAGUGCUACAUUUUGUCACACAUUCCUAUAGACUAUGAAUCCAGCUGCCCUCCAUUUGAGUUCAGAUUCCUAUGCUAUUCACAGCAUUAACAGCUUAGCUGGAGUCCUGUCAUCUAACCUACCAGGUGUUCCAACAGAGUAGCAGUUCAAAAGAGAAAAAAAUAUUUCUGUCACUCACUCAGUAACACAAUCCUGAAACAAGCUGUGUUAUACAAUGGGCACUGUUCAGAUCUCUCUGUUUCAUUGUAGGGGACAACACUGAAUACUUGCAAGUCACAUGGAAGUCAUGUUCCAGUUAUUCUUUGACAAGUGCAGAUUACUGUUUCCCUAAGCCAAGUUAUGACAUCAGUGGCACCUGCCAGAAAUUAUAGUGCAGCUCAAAUGUGGCAUUCGGAGUUGGUGCCCUGUAGCUGUUUGGUCAUUCCAGUUCAUGUGUCACAGACUUCAUAAAACGAGACUGUGGGUUCUUCCCCCCCGCUACUGAACUGAUUCAAAAUAGCUCAUGCCACCAGUCCCAAAUAAAAAUGAGUGACAGAUGAAGAGAUCUCAGUGGUUACUCCCACUGCCCACAGUGAGUCUUAUACAAAAGAAGAACCUAGAGGUUAAAAUUGACAGUAUUCAAUAAUCCCACAAGAGAAUCCAUGUUUUGGCAGAAGAGGAAGCUACCAUAUUAUAAAAAAAAUGAAUAAGACUAUCAGCUUCAGACGCCCCAAGAUCUGUGUCCAUGAUGCAAAAGGACUGAAAAACUUUUGGGAAAAAAUCAUUGAAAAUCACACUCAGCAACAACAAGGCGAAGACUCUAGAUUAAGCAGAAGUGCCCUGAAGAAACUCCGACGUGAAUGGACCCAGAGGCUGGAAGGCCGAAUAAAAAUGCUACAAAAGUCCUGUGGAGAGCAGGAAGGACAGAUGUCCCUAUUAUCAAUUGAAACAUUUCAGCCAAUAGAUAAAACAGCUGCAUAAAGUUACCGUUGGAAGAUAAGAAGUAUUGGGCCUGAUUCUGAUCUCACAUAUACCAUUGUUAACCACAAGUAACUCCACUAAACUGGUGAGAGAUCAGAAUCAGGUCCACUGUUUCUCAGAGCUCAGCCUGCUCCAAAAGCUACUGUAGGUAAUAGUAAAACCCUGUGGAAUUUCAAUAGGUAUUACAAUGAAGAUGGAAGUCUAUAGUACAUGAUUGCUACAAAUCAGGCCAUGAAAAAGACAAGAACCAAGUAUCAUCAGUUCUACACGAUAUAUCAUUUUGAUGCAGUAGGACUUAGCUUUGCAUUUCGAAGUGGCAAUAUACACACCCUUAGGAAAGAAAAUCGCUUAUUUAAUGGGUUUAAUACAUUCAGGUGCCUGGGGGUAAAGUUAACUUGAGCAGUUUGCACAUUUCCACUUACAGAGAUCAAUCAUACUGUGCCUGACUUAAUGUAGAUACACGCUGUCCUGUCUGCCUUGAUGAGCCUCCUGUGAAGUGAGAUAAGAAUUACUGUGGUCAGCAGGUUAGAAGUAGCAACAAAAAUGGAAUCAGGAAAAAAAGAAUGAGCAAUUUUGGUCGACAUACAGGUGAUUUUCCACAUCUUCAUUUUUAAGCCAAGGGAAUAAAGGAUUUUGGCUUUGGUGUGGGUUAGAUAAG
Chrysemys picta bellii (western painted turtle) is the source of this 1885-nucleotide long non-coding RNA. Lineage: Eukaryota; Metazoa; Chordata; Testudines; Emydidae. The record is from Ensembl.